This 444-nucleotide long non-coding RNA is filed under the name Numida meleagris (helmeted guineafowl). Its description in RNAcentral is "lncRNA (ENSNMEG00000000807.1)". Lineage: Eukaryota; Metazoa; Chordata; Aves; Galliformes; Numididae. The record is from RNAcentral.
GGAUUGUUAGCUUUAGUUGGGCAAUUGGCCAUUGGACGAGUCCAGUCUCUUUUCAGUGUAGUGGUAGGACAAGGAGCAAUGGCCAAAAGCAGGAACGUAGGAAGUUACAAAUAUGUGGAAGAGCUUCUUUACAGUGAGAGUGACAGCCUGGCCCUUCCUCUGCUUUGCUACCAUGAGCCAUAACAGAAAUGUUUAAUGAAAAAAUAGAAGAUUCAAAAUGAGCAAAACUCGGCGUUGGAUAAUGCUACAUUUUUUCAGUGUUGUUAGCAGAGAAUCUGUGUCCUUGGAAGAUAAGGAGCCAACUGCAAAAGGUUGUUUUGUAGAAUUUCCCAGAGAUAUUGUUCUGUGCUUGCCUCUUUGCCCACGCAAUUCAAUCGUCUGCUAAGCUUACAAUCUGUAAGGAACUGAAGCAGUACCGUUGUGAUUCUGCUAACAGUACAGAGG